UCUUAGCAGGCAAGUCUCAGUGUUACAUUGCGGCUUCAGGGCGUCGGCGACUAACUGGGGGGCUUUUCAGCCGUAGCUUUCCUAGGGUUUGUGAAGGUGAUUGAUGUUCCAAAAGUUUCUUUGGGAUGAGUCGUGUUUCUCUUGGUUUGCACACUCAUAUGGGUGGAGGUUGUCUUCCAAGGCUUCCUCCUGCCAACGCUUAGCCGGUACUUGCCUGUAUGGGGCUCCAUCAUUUAAAAUGCCAUAGCCUUUGCUCUAGCACAUUAGUCGUCAGCGAAUGCUUCCUCUUACGUUUCUGGGAAUUGUGAUGGGCAUAAUCUUUAUCAGGUCACGAAACUUGCUGGCCUCAAUGCCCUUGCAUGGUCGGUAUAACGGUUUUGUAUUCCUACAUCUUGUAAGUUGAGCUAGGUAUGGCGUUCUAAAUUAAGAGAGCUUACUCAAGUUAAAUGAUUUGAUAGUUGUGUUUUCCUUCAUUUUUUCUCAAUGUGCAUAUGUGAGAGUCAUAUCUUCAACUCUCCUCGUUUAACUUGUUUCAUUAAUACUGUAUUAAUGCAUAAAAUGUUGUCAUGAAAUGUCGUUACAAUACAUUUUCUCCGUCCAUUGAAAAUAAGACUAGUUGAAAUAAAGUAAUUGUUAUAUCUCA
Molecule: non-coding RNA, 643 nt
Organism: Physcomitrium patens
Lineage: Eukaryota; Viridiplantae; Streptophyta; Bryopsida; Funariales; Funariaceae
Source: RefSeq, a predicted model, not a curated record